AAAGGUUUGGUCCUAACUUUUCUAUCAGCCCUAGCUAAAAUUAUACAUGCAAGUAUCCGCAUCCCUGUGAGAAUGCCCUAACAGUUUCCCCCGCGGAAACAAGGAACUGGUAUCAGGCCCAACACUACGUCCCGCCCACGACACCUUGCUCACGCCACACCCCCAAGGGAACCCAGCAGUGAUAAAUAUUAAGCCAUAAGUGAAAACUUGACUUAGUUACAGCUAAUAGGGCCGGUAAAACUCGUGCCAGCCACCGCGGUUAUACGAGAGGCCCAAGUUGAUAGCCUUCGGCGUAAAGAGUGGUUAAGUUAGCCUAAAACACUAAAGUCGAACGUCCCCAAGACCGUAAUACGUGUUCGGGGACAUGAAGCCCAACCACGAAGGUGACUUUAAAAACAUCUGACUCCACGAAAGCUGAGAAACAAACUGGGAUUAGAUACCCCACUAUGCUCAGCCCUAAACUUUGAUAGCCAACCACACCCGCUAUCCGCCCGGGUACUACAAGCUCUUAGCUUAAAACCCAAAGGACUUGGCGGUGCUUUAGAUCCCCCUAGAGGAGCCUGUUCUAUAACCGAUACCCCCCGUUACACCUCAUCCUCUUUUGCUCGUACCGCCUAUAUACCGCCGUCGUCAGCUUACCCUAUGAAGGAUUAGUAGUAAGCAAUAUUGGUCUGACCCUAAACGUCAGGUCGAGGUGUAGCACAUGAGAGGGAAAAGAAAUGGGCUACAUUUCCUUAACAGGAAACAACGAACUAUAAACUGAAAUAUGUAUCAUGAAGGAGGAUUUAGCAGUAAAUGAAAAAUAGAGCGUUUUAUUGAAUUUGGUCCUGAAGCACGCACAUACCGCCCGUCACUCUCCCCAUGAGCACAAAAAUUUAUUUUUAAAUUAACCUUAACAUCAAUAGGGGAGGCAAGUCGUAACAUGGUAAGUGUACCGGAAGGUGCACUUGGU
This 952-nucleotide non-coding RNA is filed under the name Osteomugil robustus (robust mullet). Its description in RNAcentral is "Valamugil robustus (robust mullet) partial 12S ribosomal RNA". It matches the Rfam family "Bacterial small subunit ribosomal RNA". The record is from RNAcentral. Lineage: Eukaryota; Metazoa; Chordata; Actinopteri; Mugiliformes; Mugilidae.